Molecule: ribosomal RNA, 649 nt
Filed under: uncultured beta proteobacterium
Lineage: Bacteria; Pseudomonadati; Pseudomonadota; Betaproteobacteria
Description: bacterial SSU rRNA
Rfam family: Bacterial small subunit ribosomal RNA
Source: RNAcentral
CUUACACAUGCAAGUCGAACGGUAACAGGUCUUCGGGUGCUGACGAGUGGCGAACGGGUGAGUAAUACAUCGGAACGUGCCCGAGAGUGGGGGAUAACGAAGCGAAAGCUUUGCUAAUACCGCAUACGAUCUCAGGAUGAAAGCAGGGGACCGCAAGGCCUUGCGCUCACGGAGCGGCCGAUGGCAGAUUAGGUAGUUGGUGGGAUAAAAGCUUACCAAGCCGACGAUCUGUAGCUGGUCUGAGAGGACGACCAGCCACACUGGGACUGAGACACGGCCCAGACUCCUACGGGAGGCAGCAGUGGGGAAUUUUGGACAAUGGGCGCAAGCCUGAUCCAGCCAUGCCGCGUGCAGGAUGAAGGCCUUCGGGUUGUAAACUGCUUUUGUACGGAACGAAAAGACUCUGGUUAAUACCUGGGGUCCAUGACGGUACCGUAAGAAUAAGCACCGGCUAACUACGUGCCAGCAGCCGCGGUAAUACGUAGGGUGCGAGCGUUAAUCGGAAUUACUGGGCGUAAAGCGUGCGCAGGCGGUUAUGUAAGACAGAUGUGAAAUCCCCGGGCUCAACCUGGGAACUGCAUUUGUGACUGCAUAGCUAGAGUACGGCAGAGGGGGAUGGAAUUCCGCGUGUAGCAGUGAAAUGCGUAGA